UGCAUUCACUACUGUAAGUCGCUCUUAAUAAGAGCGUCUGCUAAAUGACUAAAA
Salmo salar (Atlantic salmon) is the source of this 54-nucleotide non-coding RNA. NCBI's taxonomy places the organism in Eukaryota, Metazoa, Chordata, Actinopteri, Salmoniformes, Salmonidae. The record is from Rfam.